GGAUAACAUACCGAAAGGUAUGCUAAUACGGGAUAAUAUAUUUGAGAGGCAUCUCUUAAAUAUCAAAGGUGAGCCAGUACAGGAUGGACCCGCGUCUGAUUAGCUAGUUGGUAAGGUAACGGCUUACCAAGGCGACGAUCAGUAGCCGACCUGAGAGGGUGAUCGGCCACAUUGGAACUGAGACACGGUCCAAACUCCUACGGGAGGCAGCAGUGGGGAAUAUUGCACAAUGGGCGAAAGCCUGAUGCAGCAACGCCGCGUGAGUGAUGAAGGCCUUCGGGUCGUAAAACUCUGUCCUCAAGGAAGAUAAUGACGGUACUUGAGGAGGAAGCCCCGGCUAACUACGUGCCUGCAGCCGCGGUAAUACGUAGGGGGCUAGCGUUAUCCGGAUUUACUGGGCGUAAAGGGUGCGUAGGCGGUCUUUCAAGUCAGGAGUGAAAGGCUACGGCUCAACCGUAGUAAGCUCUUGAAACUGGGAGACUUGAGUGCAGGAGAGGAGAGUGGAAUUCCUAGUGUAGCGGUGAAAUGCGUAGAUAUUAGGAGGAACACCAGUUGCGAAGGCGGCUCUCUGGACUGUAACUGACGCUGAGGCACGAAAGCGUGGGGAGCAAACAGGAUUAGAUACCCUGGUAGUCCACGCUGUAAACGAUGAGUACUAGGUGUCGGGGGUUACCCCCUUCGGUGCCGCA
RNAcentral lists this ribosomal RNA (689 nucleotides) under uncultured bacterium. Its description in RNAcentral is "bacterial SSU rRNA". It matches the Rfam family "Bacterial small subunit ribosomal RNA", at positions 141 to 850 of the family's 1533-position model. The record is from RNAcentral.